RNAcentral lists this long non-coding RNA (1845 nucleotides) under Homo sapiens (human). RNAcentral's name for it is "HSALNT0339641". The record is from RNAcentral. Lineage: Eukaryota; Metazoa; Chordata; Mammalia; Primates; Hominidae.
CCUAUCUAUUCUAUAUCUAUUAUGUACAGAUAUGUAAAAAAUAUAGCUUUAAUUGGGAAAAUUUGCACUGGAUGAAGCACUUUAAAAUUCUUCUCCCAUGCCCCAGUACUGUCAAGUUUUUGCCUAGAGCAACGUACUGACUUUUUGAGUUCUGCUGGAUCCUGCCUAGAGAAACCGCUUGUCAUUUCAAAGUUGCAUUUAUAUUUCCAUACACUUUUUGAAUAUUUCGUUUUGGAAAGAGUAACUCCACCUGCUUCUUUUUUCCACAUGUGUACAUCAAAGGUGAAGCUGGGAUGUGUCCUCUUUCCUCUUAACCCCCUAGCUCAGGACCUGGUAAAUACAGCAAACGGGGAGUGAGUUUCUCAAAUGCCUGGCUGUGUCUGCCCUGUGGCUGCCCCGAGAUGGGGUGGUGGAAUAGCAAGAGGAGCCUUGCCAGCCUGCAGGACUCAGGUGCUGCUGAGCCCUCCAGUUACCACGACUACAGCGCUUUCCAGCAGGAAACAUUUGCACCUCCAGCACUUUCCGCUCAAAGUGCUCCAUGGUAGCAACACCUGUGUGUGGUGCAGAAGCUGGGGCUACACUGCUUUAUAACUCGUCUUUCUAUCUGACCUCUGGAGUCCAGUGAAAGACCAAAACUUUACUGCUGUCCAUGUUCGCAUGUAGUAAUGGUGGGAGAACUAAAUGACACUGAAAAUUCUGGAAAUGAGGAGAAACAGACUAAAGCCACGGGCACCGGAUGAAUGAAGAGAGAGAAGAGUGCUUUAGAACGCCUCCGUCACCGCCUGUUGCACUGUCCUGAUGCUUGUGCUCCCCUACAAGAGGCAGAUGGAACAAAUCUGGGAUGGCUGGCUCACUGUGAGUGUCUCCCAUGUCCCUACGUCACAGACACCCUGAAUGUCCACCAGUUAGUGUUUUCUUUGUGGCCACGCUCACUGGUUUUGGAUCAGGCUAAUCUUUCCUCAGUGUCCUCCUCUCCCCUAAUUUGUGAGUCUGAGCUGAAAUCCCACUGACAUGAAGGCAAUAGAACAGCAGAGUCUGUGUCUGCAAGGUGCAAAUUAGCAUCGGCUCUGGCUCUGAUGGGGUGGGAGGAAGAAAAUGCUUAGCAUUAACACAGUAGAAUUGGGCUCCAAACCUACAUUGAAUCUUUUUCUCUCUCAGGUCUUUGUGUUCAUUUAGAUGUUCCUUGAGCUGUCAGAUAAAUAACCUUAUGCACUGCAGUGGGGCGGGAAAAUCUAUUCUUGGGUUCCAUACACCCUUUCCCCUCCUUCGGUAGGUGGCCUGCUGUGCACUGGUGACCACCCUAGUGGCCUUGGCAAACCUGGCCGGCACGGCGCUGACCGUCACCAUCCAGAGGGACUGGAUCGUGAGCUGACGGGUGACAACAGAGGCCAGCUGGUUGGUGAGUGGUACCGCCCUGGGUACUGAUCCUCUAAUCAGCUGAGAAGUAGAGAGCUGACAAGGCAAUCAGGGCUCUGAGAGAGGCUGACAACAGCCUUUAAGAAUAUGUUAUUUGGAGUCAAUGAGACCUGGGUUUGAGUCUGAAUUCAGCUAAAAUCAGCUGUGCCUCUUACUAGAUGCAUACUCCAGGGCAAGUUACGUGACUUUCCUCAUCUGUAUAAUGAGGGAAAUAAAGACACACACACACACACACACACACACACAGCUCAGCUUUGGGAAGGAUUCUAUAAGAUAUAGGAUUUGGAAAGCACUUAACACUAUGUCUGCAUGUAGGAAGUGCCUAAAAAAUGAUUGGUACUGUAUUAUCUAAAGAAUAUAUAGGCCAGGCGAGGUGGCUCACGCCUGUAGUAGUCCCAGCUACUCGGGAGGCUGAGGCAAGAGAAGUGC